UGGGGAAUAUUGCACAAUGGGCGCAAGCCUGAUGCAGCCAUGCCGCGUGUGUGAAGAAGGCCUUCGGGUUGUAAAGCACUUUCAGCGGGGAGGAAGGCGAUAAGGUUAAUAACCUUGUCGAUUGACGUUACCCGCAGAAGAAGCACCGGCUAACUCCGUGCCAGCAGCCGCGGUAAUACGGAGGGUGCAAGCGUUAAUCGGAAUUACUGGGCGUAAAGCGCACGCAGGCGGUCUGUCAAGUCGGAUGUGAAAUCCCCGGGCUUAACCUGGGAACUGCAUUCGAAACUGGCAGGCUAGAGUCUUGUAGAGUGGGGUAGAAUUCCAGGUGUAGCGGUGAAAUGCGUAGAGAUCUGGAGGAAUACCGGUGGCGAAGGCGACCCCCUGGACAAAGACUGACGCUCAGGUGCGAAAGCGUGGGGAGCAAACAGG
RNAcentral lists this ribosomal RNA (429 nucleotides) under Chloroflexota bacterium. RNAcentral describes it as "Chloroflexi bacterium partial 16S ribosomal RNA". It matches the Rfam family "Bacterial small subunit ribosomal RNA", at positions 355 to 776 of the family's 1533-position model. Lineage: Bacteria; Bacillati; Chloroflexota. The record is from RNAcentral.